RNAcentral lists this ribosomal RNA (28 nucleotides) under Ganoderma adspersum. RNAcentral describes it as "partial 28S ribosomal RNA". RNAcentral also lists the same sequence under 2 other names. The record is from RNAcentral. Lineage: Eukaryota; Fungi; Basidiomycota; Agaricomycetes; Polyporales; Polyporaceae.
UUUAUGACCUCUGACCUCAAAUCAGGUA